This is an unclassified non-coding RNA of Callithrix jacchus (white-tufted-ear marmoset), 286 nucleotides long. It matches the Rfam family "Metazoan signal recognition particle RNA". Rfam says of the family: The signal recognition particle (SRP) is a universally conserved ribonucleoprotein. NCBI's taxonomy places the organism in Eukaryota, Metazoa, Chordata, Mammalia, Primates, Cebidae. The record is from Ensembl.
GCUGGGCGCGGUGGCACGUGCCUGAAGUCCCAGCUACUCGGGAGGCUGAGGUGGGAGGAUUGCUUGAGCCCAGAAGUUCCGGGCUGUAGUGCGCUCCCACACUAAGUUUGGUAUCAAUAUGGUGACCUCCCGGGAGCAGGGGACAACCAGGUUGCCUAAGGAGAGGUGAACUGGCCCAGGUCGGAAAUGGAGCAGGUCAAAACUCCUGUGCUGAUCAGUAGUGGAAUCGCGCCUGUGAAUUGCCCCUGCACUCCAGCCUGGGCAACAUAGCAAGAUCCCAUCUCUU